CAGGGUGUCUCAACAGCAAGAGAAGUGUAUGAAGUCUUAAGUCACCGUGGAUGGCUAGAGUUGUUUCCACUUUUUGCAACAGUGCAUGAGAUCUGUAUUGGACGUCUUCCACCAUCAGCCAUAGUUGAAUAUAGCGAGCACAAACCGAACUUUGCCUUGGUAGAGGGCUCAGCUCAAUAUUAUUGACUUUUCCUGAGGAUGAAACUAAUAUAUUUGACAUAUAUCUGUUAUAAAAUUUAGUGGAGCCUUUCCAUAUUUGUGCAUCAUGCACAAAUGAGGAGGCUGGGUAGAAUUUUAGAGUUUGGUUUUCCGCUUCACGAUAAGUUUGGUUCCAAGACAGCAAGACAGUUCACAAGGCUGAACUACAGCUUAUUAGGA
This 378-nucleotide unclassified non-coding RNA is filed under the name Hevea brasiliensis (rubber tree). Lineage: Eukaryota; Viridiplantae; Streptophyta; Magnoliopsida; Malpighiales; Euphorbiaceae. The record is from RNAcentral.